UUAUGUUUUGUGGGCAAUGUUUGGCUUCCAAAUUGUGUCAGGACCGGAAGGUAGCAGCACUAAGGUUGCCCAGGCAUGUGCCUUUUAUUAGACAUUUACA
RNAcentral lists this signal recognition particle RNA (100 nucleotides) under Lactobacillus acetotolerans. RNAcentral describes it as "Bacterial small signal recognition particle RNA". It matches the Rfam family "Bacterial small signal recognition particle RNA". Rfam says of the family: The signal recognition particle (SRP) is a universally conserved ribonucleoprotein involved in the co-translational targeting of proteins to membranes. Archaeal SRP consists of a 7S RNA and homologues of the eukaryotic SRP19 and SRP54 proteins. In most bacteria, the SRP consists of a 4.5S RNA and the Ffh protein (a homologue of the eukaryotic SRP54 protein). Lineage: Bacteria; Bacillati; Bacillota; Bacilli; Lactobacillales; Lactobacillaceae. The record is from Rfam by way of RNAcentral.